UAAUACGUAGGGAGCGAGCGUUGUUCGGAUUUACUGGGCGUAAAGAGUACGUAGGCGGUUAUAUAAGUCAAAAGUGAAAUCCCUGUUCCCAAGACAGGAACUGCUUUUGAUACUGUAUGACUAGAGUGCAGGAGAGGGAAACGGAACUCUGAGAGUAGCGGUGAAAUGUGUAGAUAUUCAGAGGAACGCCAGUGGCGAAGGCGGUUUCCUAGCCUGCUUCUGACGCUGAGGUACGAAAGCUAGGGUAGCGAUCGGGAUUAGAGACCCCGGUAGUCCUAGCCGUAAACGAUGGAUACUAAGUGUGGGGGGAGCAUUACCCUCCGUGCUGAAGCUAACGCGUUAAGUAUCCCGCCUGGGGAGUACAGUUGCAAGACUG
Molecule: ribosomal RNA, 376 nt
Filed under: uncultured bacterium
Lineage: Bacteria
Description: bacterial SSU rRNA
Rfam family: Bacterial small subunit ribosomal RNA
Source: RNAcentral